RNAcentral lists this small nucleolar RNA (105 nucleotides) under Solanum tuberosum (potato). RNAcentral's name for it is "snoRNA snoZ103". It matches the Rfam family "Small nucleolar RNA Z103". Rfam says of the family: This family consists of several snoRNA Z103 sequences which are members of the C/D class of snoRNA which contain the C (UGAUGA) and D (CUGA) box motifs. This family seems to be found exclusively in plants. C/D box small nucleolar RNAs are known to act as a methylation guides for 18S ribosomal RNA. The record is from Rfam by way of RNAcentral. Lineage: Eukaryota; Viridiplantae; Streptophyta; Magnoliopsida; Solanales; Solanaceae.
CUGGAGGUGAUGAAUAUUUCCCCAGAUGAUCGAAGCUGAAAUUACUGAGCUUUUUAUGUAUUUUCUCUGUUCAGAGGAAAAUCCAAGCCAGAUAUUCUGAUCCGU